RNAcentral lists this ribosomal RNA (651 nucleotides) under Staphylococcus sp. RNAcentral's name for it is "bacterial SSU rRNA". It matches the Rfam family "Bacterial small subunit ribosomal RNA", at positions 81 to 718 of the family's 1533-position model. Lineage: Bacteria; Bacillati; Bacillota; Bacilli; Caryophanales; Staphylococcaceae. The record is from RNAcentral.
CUUCUCUGAUGUUAGCGGCGGACGGGUGAGUAACACGUGGGUAACCUACCUAUAAGACUGGGAUAACUCCGGGAAACCGGGGCUAAUACCUGAUAAUAUUUUGAACCGCAUGGUUCGAUAGUGAAAGGCGGCUUCGGCUGUCACUUAUAGAUGGACCCGCGCCGUAUUAGCUAGUUGGUAAGGUAAUGGCUUACCAAGGCGACGAUACGUAGCCGACCUGAGAGGGUGAUCGGCCACACUGGAACUGAGACACGGUCCAGACUCCUACGGGAGGCAGCAGUAGGGAAUCUUCCGCAAUGGGCGAAAGCCUGACGGAGCAACGCCGCGUGAGUGAUGAAGGUUUUCGGAUCGUAAAACUCUGUUGUUAGGGAAGAACAAAUUUGUUAGUAACUGAACAAGUCUUGACGGUACCUAACCAGAAAGCCACGGCUAACUACGUGCCAGCAGCCGCGGUAAUACGUAGGUGGCAAGCGUUAUCCGGAAUUAUUGGGCGUAAAGCGCGCGUAGGCGGUUUCUUAAGUCUGAUGUGAAAGCCCACGGCUCAACCGUGGAGGGUCAUUGGAAACUGGGGAACUUGAGUGCAGAAGAGGAGAGUGGAAUUCCAUGUGUAGCGGUGAAAUGCGCAGAGAUAUGGAGGAACACCAGUGGCGA